Carica papaya (papaya) is the source of this 1191-nucleotide non-coding RNA. Lineage: Eukaryota; Viridiplantae; Streptophyta; Magnoliopsida; Brassicales; Caricaceae. The record is from RefSeq and is a predicted model, not a curated record.
GUUUUUCAAAAUUCUAAUGUUGCUGCUUAUUUCAUUUUUCUUUCAACAUUUACUUUCUGAUUAGCUCUGGAUGAAAUUCACUUCUUGCCCCGUCUUUUCUAGUUACAUCCUUUCUGCCAGUAUCUUGGUUACAACUAUUUAUCGUUUCAUACACUCCCAUGCCACAUAAUCCCUAACUAGUAUGGUACUGGCAAUACCAGGUUAAUAAAGUUUGGAAACAGAAGAAUAGGAAGUAAGUGAGGACUUCAAUAAGAGAGAAAAAACAGAGAAAAAAAGAGAGAAAUAGGAAGACAACAGGGUAGAAGAGAAUGCAGAAAAAUUAGAACAUAGGGAAGUAGUAUGCAACAGUUUACAUUCCAAAAUCCAAUUCUUGAUGUUGCAUUACACAUAUGCUUUGUAAAGGUGGGAGGCAAAAUUGGCCAAUAGUAAGUGUAUUGCAGAUUGGGUCAAUAAGGAGGUCUUACCUCUUUGGACCAAUAAAAGGUAUUUAUAACUUUGGGUCAAUAAAGAAUUGUCAUCGGUUUUGGACCAAUCGGGAGUAGCAGCUACUUUGGAUCAAUUGGGAAUUGCCACCAUACAAGCAACCAUCAAAAUAAAGGUGAGGGAUGCUGGCAAUCUAUUGACUAGGGCUGGAUUCACCCUUCCUGGUGUUGACGUUGAUGAAUACGUAGUUAGAUAUAAGAGUGCUCUAGAUUUGAUAGAUCAUCUGCGAGCAAUGGGUGAAACUAAUGCUCUCCUACAGAGGAACAAGAUUCUGAAGAGAGAAACAGCCUUGGCAACUGCAGCCAUUUAUGAGUCAAUGUUUGCAGCAGAUGAUGGCACCGUGCCUGCAACCUUCCAGGUGAUUUAUAUGACUGGAUGGAAGGAGCAUCCAUCGCAACAGAAGGCAAAAAGGAGGGGAUCAGCCACCAUAUCUUUCAAGGACAUCCAGAAGCAAUUUGGAAGUGAGAAUUAAUCUCUCUCUCUCUCUCCCCAGUUUGCAUUUGUUUAUGGAGGAUAAUAAAUAUGACAAGAAUUUUGGCUGGAAAAUGGACUGGAAGGGUGUAAAAUGAGACAAACGAAAAGCUCUUGAUUUUUUUUUUCUUUUGUUUAUAUAGUCUCUGAUGUUGUUUUUGAUACACACAUUCUCCGUGGUGGAGCAAAGCUAAUAACUUGUCAUUAAUUAUGAAUCCUGGAUCUUUUUUUUUACCA